This 616-nucleotide long non-coding RNA is filed under the name Carica papaya (papaya). RNAcentral's name for it is "long non-coding RNA (CPAP_LNC011225)". The record is from RNAcentral. Lineage: Eukaryota; Viridiplantae; Streptophyta; Magnoliopsida; Brassicales; Caricaceae.
AGGGUUGUUUUCUGACAAGGACCAAUGAGAGUGUGGCCGAAUUCGGCCGAAAACAGCCAAUCCGAGGCGACUCGCCGCCGCCAGCGGCGGCGCCGUCGCCGGAGCACGGCGGAGCCGCCGUGCCGGAGUUGCGAUUUGGGCCGAAAGAGGCCCUGGGCCUAAUUUGGAUUUUUUUUGGAACACGUGCAGGUACUCUUAGUGUGUUUCAGUUUCCCGGGAAAAAUUCAGGGAAAAUUAGGGACGGCCUGCAGGCGCACUGUGAAUCGUAUUCGGAUCUCGAAAACAAGUAAGGACCCCUCACCCUAUUUCCUAUCACGGUAUUAAAGUUCAAAAUGAUAAAACGGUAUUUCUUGAAUUAACGAAUGUGUGAAAUUGCUUAAGGUGGCUAAUGGAGCCCGAGUCUAGUGUGACUGGUGAUUUACUGUUAUUUGGCCUGUUUACAGCUUUAAAUGCAAAAUGAGGUUUGGUGUGUUCAUUUUACAGAUUUGUGUGCAUAUACUACGUUUUUAUCAAUUAUGGUUGAAUGACUGAAAAACUGAUACUGUAUGUUGUCUGUUUGGCAUGAAUUACGAUUUGUUUGUUAAAAUGUGAAUUGAUGAUGCUGACUGAGAAAAAG